UAGUUCCCAGUGAUAAAUGUAUCGAGUGAUGAAAGAGUCGACGGUGACAUUUUAAAGUCUGAUUGGCGUGGACCAUCGGAAUGAAGAUGACUGCAGGAAUGGUAUGUUUGAUUAUUGGCCUAUCAAACAUUUUCAAGUCAUUUGAUGAUGCCACCACUUGGGAUAGUAAGCUGCAAAUAGAGACUUGUACUCAGCACUUAUUGCCUUUGAAAAGUAAGGGAUCCUUUUGACACUGAAUCUCAGUUUAUACGGUCUCAUUGGAGUAACCCGUCUCAAGCAUUUAGCAAUGGGAUUGGAACCUGCGACGUGUGACUGUCAUCAGAGUACUAAAUUUGAUUCCAAGCAUGAUCAUGAUUUGCCAGAAGAGCAUCUGUUAGGGGAUGACAAGGAAUAAACAGCAUAAUGAAAUUGAAACAUUCAUGUGAAACAGUCUUAGUUUAUGAAAAUGAUUUUAAAUAAAUUAUAUUUAAAUUUUGAUUUGAGAAACAUACAUAAAUCCACAAAUAUGAACAAAUCAAUUGCUUUCAGUUUUUCAAGAGAAAUAGAUUUUGUUACAGAAUCUAUCUUUAGUUUGGAAUAAAUAUUCUUUUUAAGUAUGUGUCAGAUCUUGCAUGUUAACAUCUGUAUUGAGGUCUUCCGUUUCCAAGAGAAGACAUACCAAUUCUAAUAGUUAAGGUGAUAAAGGUCUGUUAUAUGUGUAUUUUUACAGUAUAAUUGAUUGAUUGAUUGUUUACUGUUUAACGUCCCUCUCCAGAAUAUUUCACUGAUAUGGAGACGUCACCAUUGCCGAUGAAGGGCUGCAAAUUUAGGCCUAUGCUUGGCACUUAUGGCCUUUGAGCAGGGAGGGAUCUUUAUCGUGCCACAGCUGCUGUGACACGGGGCCUCGGUUUAUACGGUCUCAUCCGAAGGACCGCCCCAUUUAGUCGCCUUUUACAACAACCUAGGGGGUACUGAGAACCUAUUCCAACCCGGAAAGGUUUUUGCUA
Molecule: long non-coding RNA, 986 nt
Organism: Saccostrea cuccullata (small rock oyster)
Lineage: Eukaryota; Metazoa; Mollusca; Bivalvia; Ostreida; Ostreidae
Exons: 3
Source: RefSeq, a predicted model, not a curated record